This 435-nucleotide ribosomal RNA is filed under the name uncultured bacterium. RNAcentral describes it as "bacterial SSU rRNA". It matches the Rfam family "Bacterial small subunit ribosomal RNA", at positions 335 to 762 of the family's 1533-position model. The record is from RNAcentral.
ACUCCUACGGGAGGCAGCAGUAGGGAAUCUUCCACAAUGGGCGCAAGCCUGAUGGAGCAACACCGCGUGAGUGAAGAAGGGUUCGGUCUCGUAAAGCUCUGUUGUUAAAGAAGAACACGUAUGAGAGUAACUGUUCAUACGUUGACGGUAUUUAACCAGAAGUCACGGCUAACUACGUGCCAGCAGCCGCGGUAAUACGUAGGUAGCAAGCGUUAUCCGGAUUUAUUGGGCGUAAAGAGAGUGCAGGCGGUUUUCUAAGUCUGAUGUGAAAGCCUUCGGCUUAACCGGAGAAGUGCAUCGGAAACUGGAUAACUUGAGUGCAGAAGAGGGUAGUGGAACUCCAUGUGUAGCGGUGGAAUGCGUAGAUAUAUGGAAGAACACCAGUGGCGAAGGCGGCUACCUGGUCUGCAACUGACGCUGAGACUCGAAACGCAU